RNAcentral lists this ribosomal RNA (161 nucleotides) under uncultured bacterium. RNAcentral's name for it is "partial 16S rRNA". It matches the Rfam family "Bacterial small subunit ribosomal RNA", at positions 358 to 511 of the family's 1533-position model. The record is from RNAcentral.
GGAAUCUUCCACAAUGGACGCAAGUCUGAUGGAGCAACGCCGCGUGAGUGAAGAAGAUCUUCGGAUCGUAAAACUCUGUUGUUAGAGAAGAACACGAGUGAGAGUAACUGUUCAUUCGAUGACGGUAUCUAACCAGCAAGUCACGGCUAACUACGUGCCAG